This 494-nucleotide ribosomal RNA is filed under the name uncultured bacterium. Its description in RNAcentral is "partial 16S ribosomal RNA". It matches the Rfam family "Bacterial small subunit ribosomal RNA", at positions 28 to 507 of the family's 1533-position model. The record is from RNAcentral.
GACGAACGCUGGCGGCGCGCUUAACACAUGCAAGUCGAACGGAAAGGCCUGCUUUCCCUUGUGGAUUGCGGGUACUCGAGUGGCGAACGGGUGAGUAACACGUGAGUGAUCUGCCCCCAACUUGGGUAUAAGCCUGGGAAACUGGGUCUAAUUCCCGAUAGGACUGCAGGGUGGUGCCUGUGGUGGAAAACGAUUUUCUAGUGGUUGGGGAUGAGCUCGCGGCCUAUCAGCUUGUUGGUGGGGUAAUGGCCUACCAAGGCGGCGACGGGUAGCCGGCCUGAGAGGGUGGACGGCCACAUUGGGACUGAGAUACAGCCCAGACUCCUACGGGAGGCAGCAGUGGGGAAUAUUGCACAAUGGGCGGAAGCCUGAUGCAGCGACGCCGCGUGGGGGAUGACGGCCUUCGGGUUGUAAACUCCUUUCGACCGCGAGGAAGCCACCUGGUUGGAAGGGUGGUGACGGUAGUGGUAGAAGAAGCACCGGCUAACUACGCG